RNAcentral lists this ribosomal RNA (460 nucleotides) under uncultured bacterium. Its description in RNAcentral is "partial 16S ribosomal RNA". It matches the Rfam family "Bacterial small subunit ribosomal RNA", at positions 338 to 795 of the family's 1533-position model. The record is from RNAcentral.
CCUACGGGAGGCAGCAGUGAGGAAUAUUGGUCAAUGGGCGCGAGCCUGAACCAGCCAAGUAGCGUGAAGGAUGACUGCCCUACGGGUUGUAAACUUCUUUUAUAAAGGAAUAAAGUGAGGUACGUGACCCUUUUUGUAUGUACUUUAUGAUUCAGGAUCGGCUAACUCCGUGCCAGCUGCCGCGGUAAUACGGAGUAACCGAGCGUUAUCCGGCUUUACUGGGGUUAACGGGAGCGUAGUUGGGUUAUUAAGUCAGAUGUGAAAGUUUCCGGCUGAACCGUAAAAUUGCAUUUGAUACUGGCAGACUUGAGUAUGGUAGAGGUAGGCGGAAUUCUUGGUGUAGCGGUAAAAUGCUUAGAUAUCAAGAAGAACGCCGAUUGCGAAGGCAACCUACUAAACUGCCACUGACAUUGAUGCUCGAAAGUGUGGGUAUCAAACAGGAUUAGAUACCCGAGUAGUC